GAGUUUGAUCGUGGCUCAGAACGAACGCUGGCGGCAGGCCUAACACAUGCAAGUCGAACGCCCUAGCAAUAGGGAGUGGCAGACGGGUGAGUAACGCGUGGGAACCUUCCCAGUGGUACGGAAUAGCCCAGGGAAACUUGGAGUAAUACCGUAUAAUACCCGAAAGGGGAAAGAUUUAUCGCCAUUGGAUGGGCCCGCGUUGGAUUAGCUAGUUGGUGAGGUAAUGGCUCACCAAGGCGACGAUCCAUAGCUGGUCUGAGAGGAUGAUCAGCCACACUGGGACUGAGACACGGCCCAGACUCCUACGGGAGGCAGCAGUGGGGAAUAUUGGGCAAUGGGCGAAAGCCUGACCCAGCCAUGCCGCGUGAGUGACGAAGGCCUUAGGGUUGUAAAGCUCUUUUGGCGGGGACGAUAAUGACGGUACCCGCAGAAUAAGCCCCGGCUAACUUCGUGCCAGCAGCCGCUGUAAC
RNAcentral lists this ribosomal RNA (470 nucleotides) under uncultured Alphaproteobacteria bacterium. Its description in RNAcentral is "bacterial SSU rRNA". It matches the Rfam family "Bacterial small subunit ribosomal RNA", at positions 9 to 524 of the family's 1533-position model. The record is from RNAcentral. Lineage: Bacteria; Pseudomonadati; Pseudomonadota; Alphaproteobacteria.